Betta splendens (Siamese fighting fish) is the source of this 6529-nucleotide long non-coding RNA. RefSeq lists it as uncharacterized. The transcript is spliced from 2 exons. The record is from RefSeq and is a predicted model, not a curated record. Lineage: Eukaryota; Metazoa; Chordata; Actinopteri; Anabantiformes; Osphronemidae.
UAUGGCAAAAAUUGUCUCUUCCUUAUUUCUAUGUCUCUUCCUUAUUUCUAUGCAGUUAUUAUACGAGUUAUGACUUAUGUUCUGCAAUUAAUAUCUUAUGAUUUGUCUUACUGUAUGCAUUUGACAUUUCACCUAGAUUGUUCAAUGGUUGUCUCUGCCUGAUAGACUCUCAACUCUAGCUCCCAAACCCAAGGUCGGGGAGUUGUGUCUCUGUCUGUUGAGACUUGGUGCUCCUUUCUCACAGAUAGUUGGACGUCAGCGAUGCAGGUGUGAGAAAGUAAAAAUCUUCACACACACUGCGACAGGGAGGAGAUGGUGCAUGUAAUUUGAUUGGGUUGGAAAGACAUUCCACCCUAGUCGGACAGAGAAGCUAAAAGGCAGAAGCAACUUGAGGAUCGUGGGCUCUUUGCAUCACACCUUCGUGGUGUGUGCACUGAUCUCCCCAGCUGGUUUUUGGUUUGUUGAUGUGCACGAUCAACAUCCAUGCUUUUUAUUUGCUUUCCCCAUUAUUUUUAUUUUCUUUAUUAUUUCAAUAAAUCGCACAAAAGGACAACUCUCUCUCAUCUACUUCUUUAUGGAAAAUUUCCACCACAGAAAUUGGCGUUGUCGGCAGGAUCCCGCGGCAGGUCGUCUGGACGGUGUGACCAGGGACGAUAGUCCUGAGGACUAGGGUCGCUCAGCCUCCAAACCUCUACAGACAUUCAGAGCUGGGAGGACUGCUCACCCGUCUGGAUCGCCUCUGACGAGAUCCACGAACUCAGAUUCAAACUCAAAUCCUAAUUUGGCUCGGCUCGGUGAGAGAGAUUCCUUUUAAUUUGGGAAAAAACAUAAAAGAAAACAUAACUAGGACUAGAGAUAAUAAUAUUUCUAAAACGACUAUGUGGCUGAAAAACAUCUAAAAUAUAAUAAUUAGGACCAAACAAUUUUUUUUAAUUAAAAAAUUUAAUAUUCGGGUAAAAUGAAUUAGGUCAAAGUCUGCCCUGGUGGUCGAGACGGUGGUUGCUAAGGGUUGGCUCGUGGGACCGAGCUUGUUUUGUCUGUACUGAGGAUACAGACCAGUGUGCAGAUCUGAGCGCAGUCCAAAGGGUGUGGACAAGGAAAUAAAAGACGGCUUCUGAAAUACGGAGCGCGUUUGCAGGGGGGAGUGGUUUUGAGAUACGAGGGACCCGGGUCUUAGAGGGGCCUGACGGUGAGGGACCACUUCCGAGAACCCUGUCGCUGAUCUGAGCGGUUCCUUUUCUACGGAGACGUCCGUGGAAGAGAAAUUUCGAAAAAAGGUUCCGGCCGGAACACAUAAAAAUCUAAGGCAGGAAACCGCCGGGACUCUGAAAGAUGGGUUCGGGGCGAUCUAAGUCUCCACCACCAGACUGCAGCAUUACAAAAUUAAAAGUAAUUAUAAAAGUAAAAAGUAAAUAUGGUUAUUAGUGCGUUUCAUGUUUCCAUGAGUGGGAAACUGGUUAUGGGUUCAAAAGGAGAAUCGCUUUGUGUAAGGACAUAUGCACCUUAAAAGAAAAAUUAGAGACAAAAGAAAAUACUUGAAAAAGCAAAACUAUCAAAACUAAAGCCCUAAAAGAAACAAAAGAUGAAAGUAACGGAAAGAAAGGAGAUAACAACUCUGGGGAAGAAUUGUUUGCACUCUGCCACAGACACACAUACACCACACACACACGUCAUGUCAAGAGCAAAUGCUCCCAUUGUUUCUGCUCUCUAUUCUAAUGCAGAACUGAGCGGGAUGAGGGUAAAUCCGGAUCUGGACUCCUUUCCCACCAUCAGCAGAAGAACCGAAGGAGAAGAAGCGCCGACCAACAACCAGAACAGGGUGGAAGCUCUGACACCACAGCAGCUGGAGGACACAGACCACAGCAUGGACGCCUCACUGACCCCACAACGUCUGCAGCCAUCACGUUCUGGGCUCGUCAGAUGAACCAGCUACUACAAGCGUGUGUGUCUGACAGACACCUGCUUAUGACAAUCAGCAAAGGAAAACAAGGACAGAGCAACAGCAGGGAAAACGUGCUCUGACACAGACACUGGUUGAAACAACAGGAGAGGCUUCAGACGUGAUCGGCCCAAUAGAGCUGCAUCCAAGCAUCCAGGAAAGGUCUGUCAUCGAGGAACAACUGUCCCAUUGAAAGGCUUCACCCGCUGGCGCUCACAUCAGACUGAUGGUUGGGGAAGGAGGAAGGUGACGGUUCCUUUUCACGUGAUGUACAAGACGGUACCGCAAAAACACACACACAUUCAUACACGCAAUGAAGAAACACGCUUACAGCUGAUACACGCUCAAAUUCAUGUUCAUGCUUAUCUGCUCGCAAUGAAGAAUCGCUUUUUGCUUAAAAAAAUCCCACAGAGUGAUUUUAAAAUGAUGACAAACAGCUAAAUGACAAUUGCUGCAUGACUUUACAGUCUGAUGGGUUCAAACUAUUUUAACUUGCAACAAAUUCAGUAAUAAAAUCCUCUAUGUUUCUAAAAGGGUUUGUGCACAAUAUAGGUUUGUCUGGCCAGACUAGAAGACUAUAGGAAACAAAACAGACUGUAGAAAAAGAAACAAAAAAACAGACUAUAGGAAGACUGAGACUGACUGAAACAGACUAUUAAUGACUAUUAAAGGGAAGACGACUAUUAGAGAGAAGUAAUAAUAAUUACUGUACGUACCAGACUAUUAAAGAAAAACUAAUUCUUUCACUGUCUUGUGCAACAUCUGUCAGCAAGACACCUUAACAUUCAUCUUUGCUUUCAAACUUGUGCCCAGUUAAAUUUUUAGGAAGAGAUCUCAUGUAGUUUAGAUAUUUGAUUGAUUUCCACUCCAGACGGAGUGCAGGUUACAUCUACAGACAUUCUAAAUAAUCCCUCUUUUGUUGGUGUUAACUUCAGCUCAGCUGUGCUCUUAUCAUUAGCUGCUGGGGGGGGACUGUAACUGAGGCCCUCACACAGGCUGCAUCACAGCUUGUUUAUGAUUUCACACACACACACACUGACAAACUGGCCUAAACUUCCCUCUUUUGGGAUGAACACAGGUCUGCGCUUGCGAUUUCUUUUACUAACGAACAAAAAGAUUUUUGAUUUUUAUUCUACAGUUCCACACGUCCCUCUGUGAAAACAUGAUGGAGACAGAUGCAGGACGUGGGUCCUUUCGUGAUCAGAUGUCAACGGGGUGGAGACUGGUGAACGACUUCUGACCCCAUGUGACGUAUUUACCCACAUUACAUGCUUUUGUUUUUAUUUUUAUUUUUCAGAGGACGCUGUGAGCCAACACUCAGCCUUACAGGAAGCCCUGUUUCCCUGUGGCUCACACACAGACAUGAUGUAGGUUCAAUCAGAGGAUGUGAACCAGUGGUCAUCACACCUAAAUCUGACCACAGACCAUGUGAACAACAACACCCUCUUAAAGGAAGCCAUAGAUGGUGUUACUGCAGACACCACUAAGCUACUGAAACAUUGGAUGCUACAGGCCACAAAGAGAGCCUGUCUAAAUUACACUUUGUUCAGACAAAGGUUAUUUUCUGGGUCAUUGUAAUUACAGCUGAUGGCAAAUCCAUCUCACCCAACAGAUUUGAAGCAAUUUGAAACCUGCCUAAACCGUGCACGUAUAAACAGCUGAUGUCUUUUCUAGGUUUUUGUUCUUAUUGUAGGACUUUCGUUCCUAACUUAAAUGUCUUUGAGGCCCCACUCAGGGUUCUGAUGCAGACGUCUUCAUCGUCCACUUCUUGUCUCACGUGGACGUCUGAGGCUGAACAACGUUCACUGACCUCAAGCUUGCUCUUCAGUCGGCUCCUACCUUGGGUCUUCCUGAUCUGACCCUACGCGACCUUUCACUCAAACAGUGGAUGAGAAAUCAGGUUGUACGACUUCUGUUCUUUUGUCCUCAUACUGUCUUUGAUUCUUUUGGAAUAGAUCACAUCUUUCUACAGCCAGAUGGCUUAGAUACAACACCACCUUGCUCAACAUGCUGAAAAUUACUAUCAAGAGUCCGUCGUGAAGUCUGGCGCUUUGCAAAGACACUGCUCUGCUCAGGCUGCAGAGUUGAUCGUAUUGACUGAAGCUAGUAAACUAGCAGAAGGAGAGACUGUUACCAUCUACAGACUCCACAGAUGCUUGUCACACGUUGGUUCUCCUUGGAAGCAUGGGAAGCUUUGAAGUCUGAUUGCAAACCUAUCUUACAUCAUGAUACGGUUCUGCUUUGCUGGACGCUGUCCUGCUGCCUACAGCUAAUGCUGUUUGUAACUGUCCAACAUCAGUGACGACUUUGUUUCUGCCGACAUGCAGCUGCAGACGCCGCUGCGAAGGUCGCUGCCCAACAACCCCUCCCUCUCCUGAUCCUCGUUUCCUCUUGUUCCCUCUCCAACUCUCUCUAUCCUUUCCUUCCUCAUCUCCCUGUGCUUUAAACAUUUUCUACCUCACAGGAACGCAGACUCUGGCUGACGCAUGGUUCCACCUGUAGCCAUGGAGUCUGGUUUGGGCCUGAUGGCAGCCGUGCCGCCCAAACACCUUUUUCCCCACAAUUCAGAUUUCCCAACAGGUGAAAGCAGGCGACAGGACCAUUACACCAUCCAACCAGGGGACUGGGCGAUUGUUAAGGACUUCAGGAGGAAGCAUUGGGACUCCAAACGAUGGCGAGGCCCCUUCCAGGUCCUUCUGACGACCCACACGGCUGAAAGAUCGCAGUGAGAGUGACUUGGAUCCACUCCAUCCACUGCAGGAAGGUCCCAGAUCCAACAGACGACCCUCCAUCUACAUCUACACCACACGAGAAAGCCACCACUGACGAAAAGAACUGAGAAGGACGACCCUCGCUGUGCUCACACACGCACUGAGGCGAGGCUGCGUUGACCGUUCAGCUAAAGGUGUGAGCCAAGCGCCGCCUAAAGCUGCACCGGUGAAUCACACUAUCAGACCAUACAUCUACACACACGCUCCUGAGAAAACACACACACGAGCAGCCUUGAGUUGCCAACGCUGGACGACGUGUAGACUCUUCACAUCACGGGAGUGACAGUGACUCAGACGACAUUGGGAGGAAACCUGGCGGUGAUAACGAACCCCAAGUGUCUCUGUGAUCAGCUGAUCACAACCUGAAGAACCCCAACGAACUGUCAAUACUUCAACACACAGAUGAAAGACAACAGAAGCGGAAAUAUGCAUCAUCAUUCUGGUUAAAUCCCUGAAUCUCCUAUUCGCUCUAGACGCAAAUGUACAAUUAAAGAUCCGAAAGCAUUAAAUCUAUCUUAAGAAUAUAUGAAACAGAACCCCACCGGAAACGUAUGGCUAUCAUACAUUAAUGGUCUUUAUUACAUUACAAUUGAAUGGCCGUAGACACGUUGUUAGCAGAGAAAAGAGGCGUUUGUGUUAUGUUUGGAGAGGCAUGUUGUACUUACAUCCUGAAUAACACUGAUUCUAAUGGUAUUGUGGCGAAGGCGCUACACGGCCUUCAGAAUCUCAGCUAACUCUGGUAUAGAUUCUUCCUCUUGGAAUUGGCUAGACGAAAUGUCUGGAAAAUGGAAAUCUGUUCUCAUGUCCACAGCUGUUUCCUUUAUAAUUGAGAUGGCUGUGAUUCUCUUGUUUGGUUUUUGCGUUAUCCCACUGGUUAGAGGUCUCAUCAUGCGUGCGACCUCAGCAACACUCUCGUAUGAGAUGACACAAUGCACUAUGUUCAAAAACCCCAACUCUAAUUUACUUAAUGACUUUGACAAUGAUCUUAGGCUAUCUAAUCACAAAAUAUAAUCUGAUACAAAUAUGAUUAUGAGCUUAUUUUCUUCACAUGCCAAUACAGAGGUUAUUCUUGUAUAACUACCCAAAAACAGCUCCCAACCUUUUGUCCCUUAGUUACUUCCAUUUUAUGUGAAGGUGUAUUUUGAAUCUUGAUGAGUUAAUACCCUUAUUGUUUCAUUUGCAAGGAUCUUUUAUUAUUACAGAAUGUGAUGUUGACAAUUUUUCUUCUUAGUGGUUGAUUAAUGUGUAAUCAAAAGGGGGGAGUGUUAUGGCAAAAAUUGUCUCUUCCUUAUUUCUAUGUCUCUUCCUUAUUUCUAUGCAGUUAUUAUACGAGUUAUGACUUAUGUUCUGCAAUUAAUAUCUUAUGUUUUGUCUUACUGUAUGCAUUUGACAUUUCACCUAGAUUGUUCAAUGGUUGUCUCUGCCUGAUAGACUCUCAACUCUAGCUCCCAAACCCAAGGUCGGGGAGUUGUGUCUCUGUAUGUUGAGACUUGGUGCUCCUUUCUCACAGAUAGUUGGACGUCAGCGAUGCAGGUGUGAGAAAGUAAAAAUCUUCACACACACUGCGACAGGGAGGAGAUGGUGCAUGUAAUUUGAUUGGGUUGGAAAGACAUUCCACCCUAGUCGGACAGAGAAGCUAAAAGGCAGAAGCAACUUGAGGAUCGUGGGCUCUUUGCAUCACACCUUCGUGGUGUGUGCACUGAUCUCCCCAGCUGGUUUUUGGUUUGUUGAUGUGCACGAUCAACAUCCAUGCUUUUUAUUUGCUUUCCCCAUUAUUUUUAUUUUCUUUAUUAUUUCAAUAAAUUGCACAAAAGGACAA